AAAAAAGGUAAGCUACUAAGAGCGAAUGGUGGAUGCCUUGACUGGUAAAGGCGAUGAAGGACGUACUAGACUGCGAUAAGCUACGGGGAGCUGUCAAGAAGCUUUGAUCCGUAGAUUUCCGAAUGGGGCAACCCAAUGUAUAGAGAUAUACAUUACCUAUAUAGGAGCGAACGAGGGGAAUUGAAACAUCUUAGUACCCUCAGGAAAAGAAAUCAAUAGAGAUUGCGUCAGUAGCGGCGAGCGAAAGCGCAAGAGGGCAAACCCAGUGCUUGCACUGGGGGUUGUAGGACUGCAAUGUGCAAGAGGUAAGUUUAGCAGAACAUUCUGGAAAGUAUAACCAUAGAGGGUGAUAGUCCCGUAUGCGAAAAACAAACCUUAGCUAGCAGUAUCCUGAGUAGGGCGGGACACGAGGAAUCCUGUCUGAAUCCGGGUCGACCACGAUCCAACCCUAAAUACUAAUACCAGAUCGAUAGUGCACAAGUACCGUGAGGGAAAGGUGAAAAGAACUGAGGUGAUCAGAGUGAAAUAGAACCUGAAACCAUUUGCUUACAAUCAUUCAGAGCCCUAUGUAGCAAUACAGGGUGAUGGACUGCCUUUUGCAUAAUGAGCCUGCGAGUUGUGGUGUCUGGCAAGGUUAAGCAAACGCGAAGCCGUAGCGAAAGCGAGUCUGAAUAGGGCGCUUAGUCAGAUGCUGCAGACCCGAAACGAAGUGAUCUAUCCAUGAGCAAGUUGAAGCUAGUGUAAGAACUAGUGGAGGACUGAACCCAUAGGCGUUGAAAAGCCCCGGGAUGACUUGUGGAUAGGGGUGAAAGGCCAAUCAAACUUCGUGAUAGCUGGUUCUCUCCGAAAUAUAUUUAGGUAUAGCGUUGUGUCGUAAUAUAAGGGGGUAGAGCACUGAAUGGGCUAGGGCAUACACCAAUGUACCAAACCCUAUCAAACUCCGAAUACCUUAUAUGUAAUCACAGCAGUCAGGCGGCGAGUGAUAAAAUCCGUCGUCAAGAGGGAAACAACCCAGACUACCAGCUAAGGUCCCUAAAUCUUACUUAAGUGGAAAACGAUGUGAAGUUACUUAAACAACCAGGAGGUUGGCUUAGAAGCAGCCAUCCUUUAAAGAAAGCGUAAUAGCUCACUGGUCUAGUGAUUUUGCGCGGAAAAUAUAACGGGGCUAAAGUAAGUACCGAAGCUGUAGACUUGCACACAACUUAGAUUAUUUAAGUUUAGAAUAUGAGAAACUAAGUUAUAUGUUUAGUUAUAUUUUUACUGGUUUUUAUAGAGUAAAGAUAGAAAUAAAACUUAGUAAAAUCAGUAAAAAUAUUCUUAGACUAAAGUUAAGUAGUUUAAGUUGUGUGCAAGUGGUAGGAGAGCGUUCUAUU
RNAcentral lists this ribosomal RNA (1373 nucleotides) under Campylobacter jejuni. Its description in RNAcentral is "partial 23S ribosomal RNA". It matches the Rfam family "Bacterial large subunit ribosomal RNA", at positions 1 to 1245 of the family's 2925-position model. Lineage: Bacteria; Pseudomonadati; Campylobacterota; Epsilonproteobacteria; Campylobacterales; Campylobacteraceae. The record is from RNAcentral.